RNAcentral lists this transfer RNA (75 nucleotides) under Bacteroidales bacterium. RNAcentral's name for it is "tRNA-Met". It matches the Rfam family "tRNA". Rfam says of the family: Transfer RNA (tRNA) molecules are approximately 80 nucleotides in length. Their secondary structure includes four short double-helical elements and three loops (D, anti-codon, and T loops). The record is from RNAcentral. Lineage: Bacteria; Pseudomonadati; Bacteroidota; Bacteroidia; Bacteroidales.
CGCGGGGUGGAGCAGUGGAAGCUCACCGGCCCCAUUCGCCGGAGGACGCCGGUUCGAAUCCGGCCCCCGCUACCA